GCGGCUAUGGUGUAAUGGCAGCACUAGAGGUUGUGGACCUCCCAGUAGCGGUUCGAAACCGCUUAGCCGCCCA
Molecule: transfer RNA, 73 nt
Filed under: Chloroflexota bacterium
Lineage: Bacteria; Bacillati; Chloroflexota
Description: Chloroflexi bacterium tRNA-His
Rfam family: tRNA
About the family: Transfer RNA (tRNA) molecules are approximately 80 nucleotides in length.
Source: RNAcentral